Molecule: long non-coding RNA, 7381 nt
Organism: Lethenteron reissneri (Far Eastern brook lamprey)
Lineage: Eukaryota; Metazoa; Chordata; Hyperoartia; Petromyzontiformes; Petromyzontidae
Source: RefSeq, a predicted model, not a curated record
CACAGACACACACAGUGGCACGCACACACAGACACACAGAGUGACACGCACACACAGACACCCCCCCACCACCACGGGUCACGCGGCGUAGCUCGCCCACAGAAACAACCGGACAAGAAGAGCCCUCCCGCCGCCUCCCCCUCCUCCACCCCACAGGGUUCCGCCGGUUCCUUGCGAGACCCUCGCAAAGGCGCGUCACGCGCACAUCGCCAUCAUCAUCGUCAUCGUCGUCGUCGUCAUCACCAUCGUCUCCCACCAUCAUCAGACCUCGUCGGCGUGACGCGUGGGUUGUUUUGUGAAGUACGGAGCGGCGCUACCCGCCCUCAUCAUCCUCGUCGUCGUCGUCGUUCUCGUCUCACGGCGGAUAUUGCGAGGGAUCCUUCUUCUGCAGCUCGGCUGACCCUCUUGUGCGAAAUAAAUGAAUCCGUCGGCACCGCCUCCGUACCCGGGUGCUGAACCCUACCCGCCGUACCCUCAGCAGCCGUACCCUCAGCAGCCGUACCCUCAGCCGGCAGGCCCCUACCCAGGUCCCGGAGGACAGCCCCCACCUUACGGAGGCCAAAACCCAUACCCAGCGCCCUACCCUCCUGGUUCCCAGCCGGGCUACGGGCCGCCGGGACAGCCGCAGUACAACUGGCAGCCCGGGGCGCCAGGCUACCCGGGAUACGCUCCGCAGCCACAGCCGCCGGGACACUAUGGCGCGCAGCCCAAGCCCGAUACAGUGUACGUGGUGCAGGAGCAGAGACGCAACAACAACAGCAGCACCACCGAGACGUGCCUGACGGCCUGCAUGGCCGCCAUGUGCUGCUGCUGCGUGUGGGACAUGCUCACCUAGGUGUCGUCACUGCUGCUGGCGCCGCCUGUAUAUACACCGACACGCGCACACACGCACACAAUAACAACACGCGCACACACGCACACAACAACAAUACACGACCUUCGCCACUAAGUGGCGGUGACGUCACCACGGCGCUUGUGCCAGGCUAGGUGCACAUGUACACGCAUACACAGACACAUGCUGCCCAGACAGACGUUAUGGGUGUGUGUUGCCAACAUUUCACCCAAAGUCCUUGUGUGUGUGCGUGUGCCGAAAAUCACAGUGCGGUAAAAAUGCACCGUCCUUUCGCGUACGCACGGGCAGGUGCCACGUCGACAAAAUCGGUGGCCGUCGUUCACGUUGAGGGGGAGGGGGGUGGGGGAGGGCUCUCCGACGUGUGUGCCGCGUGUCGUGCCGCGUGUCGUGCCGCGUGACGUUCGGCGCGACGUCCCGGAGCUGAAGCUCCCCAGCAUGUGGAGCGAGACGUCGGGACACCGUUACCGGACAGCACGCGGUACAACCCGGAACAACAUCGCAGAGCGACACCGUAACACAAGCUGGCGGGGGUGGGGCGCACGUAGGCGUUUGCGGUCGUGAGCGUUAAAGCGCACGCGUGAAUGCGCACACUUAGACGUACGCACACACCCGGCCCUUCCUAGCGUCCAUAAAUACCCGGCACAAGGCCCCCCCCCCUCCCUCCUCCCGCCGUGUACUCCUGAGCGAGGUUUUGCCCACGGCAUGCACCUGCCACCUCGGGCUUGAGUUUCACUCUCGCCACCUGCUAACUCGACCCCCCCCCAACCGUUCUCCACUCUCGCCGCUACACCCCCCCCCCCCGCCCACUGCAGCAUCUCAUGCUUAGGUGAGGCGAUCGAGCGACAACAGAGAGGGGCGGCAGGUAUUUUUAUCUCCGGCUGUUGGCGCUCACUCGGGCGAUCUGCUCACGUCGCCGUUUACCCCCCUAGUGCCUCGUUUUUGUAGAACGUCAGCGAUGGCGACCACGCUGCUUUGGAGAAUUGCGAUUGGUGUACUCUCUUUUUUGGCUUCUGAUUUCUUAAGUUGCGGUUAGGUGCCGAUCAUUACGGUUAAAACACGAUGCGGUUUAUUUUUUCCUGCUGUGGAGGUAGGCAGAUUAUAAGGCGUUGUGAAGAAAAUCAUUGCAUUUUGAAAUAAACACGAUUGGAAAUUUGUCUUGACUACUUGACACCGUUAAGAAUUGCAGUUCCGACCAUCCCUACAUCAUAGCCACUGGCCUGCAACCCCGAGUCCCUUGAGUGGGAGCUAAAGAGCAAUCCUCGCUGUGUACGGGGCGUACAGUGCGUACGGGGUGCUGGUGCGGUUAAACAGCCCGCGUUUCACGAGUCGCGAUGCAACAGCAGCUAAAGGUCAUUGGGUUGUAAAGGAACCUAGAAAUGUAUUUAUACUGCAACUGGCAGGGCAAGUGAGGAAUAGUCGACGUUGAGCACUCGGUAGCCGUCGCUCUUGCUAAAGUUGAUCUCAUCCACCGGCUCGGGCGGUGAUGCCUCCGAGAUAAUUGUUGUACUUAGUGGCCCCAUCACCCCACAAUGACCUGUAAGCCCCAUUUGAGAGGAUGUGUCACCUGCGUCCGACGCGGAUGAUGGUGUUGAUAAACCGCAGCCUUUGGAGAAGUUAGUGACUGGGAUAGUGGGACGAUCCAGUUCAUUUCAGGACAAUGUGUGUGUGUGCGUGCGCGUAGGGAAUGGUGGCGCAGUGCACUACGAACCGCGCGACCUGAGUUCGAUUCCAGCUCGUGACCAAUAGUGACAGCGAAUAUCUGAACCGAUCCAGGGCCUCCCCUUGGUAGAUUCAGUCUCAAAUGAGUACCUGGUGUGACGUAUAAAAACAUCGCCACUGGGGAGGCAAAGGCGGCCCCGGGUGUGGUGCUGGCCACACCACCCUCUCGUAUGCCGUUCUGGCCUUCAUAUGUUGUUGCUGACAGCACUGGCCUCAACUGUCUGUUAAAGGCUUGCGUGUGCAAAUGCCAGCAACUACGUAUUUGUGUGAGCACUGAUUUAGGACUUAAUAAUGGGCAACCAACUAACCCCUUCGUUUAUAUCCCAACGUGUAAUCUGACUUGGUUUUACUGACUUGGUCGUUAUCAUCCAUCUCCACCACAAACCCGCGAAUGCCAAAAGUCGUACUCUGCCUUCCAACCAGUGUCCCCACCCCCCCUCCGAGACUAUCAGCUCGAGCAUCCGGCCACCCUAAUCAGAAAGCGCAGCAACUUCCCACUUGUCACAAUUCAAUUAAGAAAAAAAUAAUGUGCAUAGGUUUCCAGCAAUUUCAAAUUAUGCAGUCAGUCAUUCAGGGACGAAAUGCCUUUUGAGUAGCUGUAGAAAAAUCACCUCGUGCGCACUAACGUUGAUGUUAUCGCGUGGAUAUUAUUGGCGUCGUGUGUACAGAUGCUGAAAUAAAUGCUAAAAUUAUUCAAUAGCUGCCAUGCUUGCAGACAUAGACAUGGCACGCGCAACAUACAUAUGGUUGGUAGGUCAAGCGCUUAAGAUAAAAUUAGUUUAAGCACACGGAUGCAUUCGUGGUUACUGUGGUUUCGAAUGGCUGUUAACUAAACCACCGGAGCUUAACAAAAAGCAGAUAGCAUGAAACAUGUCUUUUGUUUCUUUGCAGAAUAUUACAUUUUAUUUGGCAACCUCAAUUGAAGGAAAUGCAUAUAACUGUACAUGUACACCACAUAUGCAGCCUCAUACUUGGUGACUCCAAGCACUAAUUAUUUUUAACAUUGCGUUAAACUUUUUUUGAUACAAAUUAAUAUUUGCCAGCAGACAUUAAUUUAAAAAAUAAUUCUCUUAACAGGUGCAAUUUCUCUUAACAUUUACGGAGACUGCUUAUGUAUGUAUCUAUGUACAGACAUUAACAAACUAAAACCUAACUUCUCAGCUUGCUGGUUUUGUUCACAAACCAAAUCUAAUUUCUUUUUGGCUGCCAAUGGGUUGAUUGGUUGGGUGGACGGACGGACGGUUGGAUGUGACGUGACGGAGUUGUGCCGAUUUCUAUAGAGGACGCCCUUAUGUUGUAUUUAAUUGCUGUUGAUAUAAUUAUCGUUAGGCAUAAGUGCAUCCUGUUUAGUGUGCUGUUAACGAGGUCGAUGAAAAGACGAUUAAUAUAGCUUUAUAGUAUCGUGUAUCUAGCAAAAUGUAUGUGACGUAUGCUGCUAUUCUUUUGAGAGGGGAGGAAACCCAUUAACGUCGACAAGUGUGGCCUAACUUUGACGACAAUACUUUAGAAACGCAAACUGCUUUGCGCACGUGGGCAUUACAGUGAAUGCAAGCGGAGAGAGUGCAGAAGCUUGCACGCUUCGACCACCGUCCCAGUUAACCUGGGUUUGAGCCUUGUCAUGAUGCACGACAUGAUUUGCCAAAAUACAUUUUCAACUUCGCAGAUCCCUUCGGGAUGCUGAGCCAGCCAAAAAUGUGCAUAUCCUGCAGUUUUGAGGCUUAACUGCACCGGAGAGACAAAGAUGGCCAGGUGUGUCACUGCCUCUACCACCACUCAAUCUUGUGCCACGCUAGCCUCAAUAAUUGAGAACAGCACUUGUCCUGAUAAUUUGAGGUUAACAUGGGCAUCUUUUUUUAUGUUGUCAAAUAACUGAAAAGACCUUCCACUUUGGAAAUUGUAAUGGGGUUUCUCCUGUUCCAUUAUUGUGCUUUAGGCUGUAAUGAUGAUGUAAGUAAAUAUUGUAGCAUAAAUAUAUUGUUAAAUACUGAUAUACCAGGUCCGUAAGGUACUUUUAAAAACAUGCAAUACUAUUUUCUCAGCGUGUGCGUUCACUAGUGGACAAUUGUCGACUACAUAAAUCUCACUUUUAUAUAAUAGACGGUUUGAAAUCGAUAGGUGUUUGAUGUCCGCCUUUGUAUGUCUUCCCGCAUCACGGGUUCCAUUCAAUGUCAUGUGCUGUCUCACCUUUGGAACUGGGAGGCUUUUUUCAAUAAAUUAACUGUUGCCAUUAUAAGACGCGUUUUAUGCUAAAUGAGGUUAAGGUGCACACCCCUGCAAUUGCUCCCUCCUAGCGAUGUGACCUACCCAAACUCACAUGCUUUUUCUUAACCAUUAAAAUUGUAUGUAACCGUUAAUAAAUGUACUCCAUUUUCUGUCUCUCAAUACCCCUCAAAGAACACCAUAUCCCAAUGGGAAUGCUUGCUCAUUCGGAGCACGUACAUGUCCCAUAGGUUGCAAGAGAAACAUCCUCACGCUGAUGAUUCAUUGUACCCUUCUGAGUCCAUCUUGACACCAACUACCACCCAACUUUCAAUACUUUUUCUUAAACACAGGUGGCCCAAAGCCCCAACACGUCAAGCAGUUGGCAACACACAGCACUGUCAGAGUUGUUAUAGGACUUAGCACAUUUCUCGAAAUGAGAAAGGCCGUAAGAGCUUUGGGAAUGUUCAUGGAAAGAAAUUUGGAUGGGAGAGAAUUGACUGAAUUGUAAUAUUGCCUGAAAAUACCAGUUGGUAAAAACACUUGACAUUUAAUUUUAUUAUCAGUAUCCCCUCGAACCUCUAGUCAGUAAAAAUAAAUACAGCCGUCUUUAAAAAAUAUAAUGGAUGAAGGCCCUCCCAUUGUGGCAGUCACGUUCGUCAGCAUGGGUUGUUGGUAAAGGACCGAACUAGAUAUCGAUUGGCACGAAUAUUGAGCCAUGGCCUGGAAUAAAACGCCGGUCGCUCGAUGGGUCCCAUGGUGCAGUGCGCGUGCACCACCGCCACUGAACCCCAUAAAAACUCGUGAUUUGAUGAUAAGAUACAUUUUUAUUCCGCUUUCAAAUUCAGAACCAAAAGUAGAAGAAUGAGCAAUUCACGAAAGAUGUGUAACAACAAAAAGUCCGCUUUUUAAAAAGGCGACUGUCUUUUUUUAAAAUGGAGUUACUGGUUGUGAUAGGUUACUAGAGCCACCUAUUGACAGAUAAAUGAAUUACAAAAUUUCAAAUAUAUAUUACUGUAUCGUAAACUCCGGCUUUAAAGACGCAAUUUUUCCCGAUGUCAUUUAAAGCAAGGUUUGGUGGUGAGUCUUACAAUACAGAAGAAAGGGUAUCAAUUAUAAGUCGUCUGCCCAGUGAACAAAUCAAUCAGUGUGCUGUGUAAAUUGCCAAUACACGUUUCAGAAUUUUAAAUCAAUUUCAUCUAUAACACAAUCAUUAAGCGUCGUUGUUGGUGAUUGUAAUAAUAAAUAAUGCCACCUUCCCAUAUUCGUGUCUGCACAUAAAUAUGAUAGCAUAAUAUCGGCAACAGCAGCUGGUGAGACGCGGCCACUUCGUUGAGCGAAUAUGUGUGGCCAGGUCGCUUCUACGUCGUUCAGUGGGGCCAUACCUGGUAAAAUAAAACAUAGUUCAAGAGAAUGCUGAAGUGGCAGAUGUCCUUCUAUACUGCGGCCAGGAGAGGGCGCUAUCAAUUCGCACUCAGUACGCUGGUCACCCCGAUAUGACAAGUGGACAAUGAUGUGCGUUUAAAGCGUGAUGUCACAAUUUCUCUACAGUCGAAUGGAUUCAUAUUCUUUGGUUCUUUCUAUAAAGUUACGUAGAUAGAAAGAAAAAAUAUAAAGUGAAUAAAAAUAUCACGACGCUUCGAUCGCAACAUAAGCGGUCGUCAUCAGGAAAAUGGGUUAGCCUCUAAAAGCAAACUGUUUAUAAAGGUUUGGAGAUGGGCGUAGCCCAAGUGUAUCAACAGCACCAACAGCAUUGGCGGGGCAGAAAUGCCAAUGCAGCAGCAAUGCCAAUGCAGCAGCAAUGCCAAUGCAGCGGCAAUGCCAAUGCAGCAAAGGGCCGCCAGGAAAUCCCUGCACCCCGCUCCACCCACCACACUGCUGACGGUGGAGGUUGAUUGACAAGAAAACACAAGUCAAGUUAUGACCCAAAGUGGUUGAUGACAUCUUUCCAAUGAUUGCUGAGUCUAGAACCUUCCUCUCGGUUGAAAUUGUGUCUGUAUAUAUGGAUGGCUUCAUGAACGAAUCUUUCUUCUUGGUUCUUUCGGUAAAGUCACGUAUUGUUUUUUAUGGUUUAUUUUUAUUAUUUUAUUAUUUCCCUUCUACGUGACUUUACCGAAAGAACCAAGAAGAUUAAUCCCUGCAGUCACGAAAGCUUUAAAUUGAAGGAAUCUUUGUUGAUAGCCAGUAGGCUUGCAAAGUACCAUCGUCUUAGAGAAAUCAUUUCGUGUGAGCCAGCCGCAUUAAAAUAAUGAUCAGCCACGGCAGAAUUAUUGGUCCUGCCGUGUUUCAGAUCUGCCUUAUGUUCACUAACACGGUCCGAGACAUGUCGCUUAGUUUCCCCAAUGUAACUGCUGCCGCAGACACAGCUUAGUUUGUAGACGCUGGGAUAUUGCAUGUCAGCAAUCUUGUCCUUCACGUAAUUUUAUGUACUGUCUUAAACCGAACCUGGAUCUUGUAUUUGUUCAUGAUUUUGGAAAUAUUUUUGGUUAUCUCUGCUAUGUAUGGCAGGGUGAUGGUUUUGAUUGGAUCCACAGAUGGCGCCUUCCUCACGGUUGGGGUGACGGCUUUGCGGAUUGUGUAGUCAGAAUAUCCAUUCGCCUUGAGAACGUG